This 428-nucleotide ribosomal RNA is filed under the name uncultured prokaryote. Its description in RNAcentral is "bacterial SSU rRNA". It matches the Rfam family "Bacterial small subunit ribosomal RNA", at positions 355 to 774 of the family's 1533-position model. The record is from RNAcentral.
UGUGGAAUUUUGCGCAAUGGGGGAAACCCUGACGCAGCAACGCCGCGUGAGUGAUGAAGGCCUUCGGGUCGUAAAGCUCUGUCAGAGGGAAAGAAGUGUAAGGCGGUUAAUACCCGUUUUACUUGACGGUACCCUCAAAGGAAGCACCGGCUAACUCCGUGCCAGCAGCCGCGGUAAUACGGGGGGUGCAAGCGUUGUUCGGAAUUAUUGGGCGUAAAGAGCGUGUAGGCGGCCGGAUGUGUCAGAUGUGAAAGCCCUGGGCUUAACCCAGGAAGUGCAUUUGAAACUGUCCGGCUUGAGUAGGGGAGAGGGAAGUGGAAUUCCUGGUGUAGAGGUGAAAUUCGUAGAUAUCAGGAGGAACACCGGUGGCGAAGGCGACUUCCUGGCCCUAUACUGACGCUGAGACGCGAGAGCGUGGGUAGCAAACA